RNAcentral lists this transfer RNA (63 nucleotides) under Conderis sp. UPOL A00605. Its description in RNAcentral is "tRNA-Phe". The record is from RNAcentral. Lineage: Eukaryota; Metazoa; Arthropoda; Insecta; Coleoptera; Lycidae.
UUUUAAUAGCUUAAGUAGAGCAUGAUAUUGAAGAUGUCAGGGUGGUUUUUAACCUUAGAAUAU